GAUGAACGCUGGCGGCGUGCCUAAUACAUGCCAGUCGAGCGAACAGACGAGGAGCUUGCUCCUUCGACGUUAGCGGCGGACGGGUGAGUAACACGUAGGUAACCUACCUAUAAGACUGGGAUAACUUCGGGAAACCGGAGCUAAUACCGGAUAAUAUUUCGAACCGCAUGGUUCGAUAGUGAAAGAUGGCUUUGCUAUCACUUAUAGAUGGACCUGCGCCGUAUUAGCUAGUUGGUAAGGUAACGGCUUACCAAGGCAACGAUACGUAGCCGACCUGAGAGGGUGAUCGGCCACACUGGAACUGAGACACGGUCCAGACUCCUACGGGAGGCAGCAGUAGGGAAUCUUCCGCAAUGGGCGAAAGCCUGACGGAGCACCGCCGCGUGAGUGAUGAAGGUCUUCGGAUCGUAAAACUCUGUUAUUAGGGAAGAACAAACGUGUAAGUAACUGUGCACGUCUUGACGGUACCUAAUCAGAAAGCCACGGCUAACUACGUG
RNAcentral lists this ribosomal RNA (497 nucleotides) under uncultured bacterium. RNAcentral describes it as "partial 16S ribosomal RNA". It matches the Rfam family "Bacterial small subunit ribosomal RNA", at positions 28 to 507 of the family's 1533-position model. The record is from RNAcentral.